RNAcentral lists this ribosomal RNA (1417 nucleotides) under Bacillus sp. (in: firmicutes). Its description in RNAcentral is "bacterial SSU rRNA". It matches the Rfam family "Bacterial small subunit ribosomal RNA". The record is from RNAcentral. Lineage: Bacteria; Bacillati; Bacillota; Bacilli; Caryophanales; Bacillaceae.
UCAGGACGAACGCGGGCGGCGUGCUAAUACAUGCAAGUCGAGCGGACAGAAGGGAGCUUGCUCCCGGAUGUUAGCGGCGGACGGGUGAGUAACACGUGGGUAACCUGCCUGUAAGACUGGGAUAACUCCGGGAAACCGGAGCUAAUACCGGAUAGUUCCUUGAACCGCAUGGUUCAAGGAUGAAAGACGGUUUCGGCUGUCACUUACAGAUGGACCCGCGGCGCAUUAGCUAGUUGGUGAGGUAACGGCUCACCAAGGCGACGAUGCGUAGCCGACCUGAGAGGGUGAUCGGCCACACUGGGACUGAGACACGGCCCAGACUCCUACGGGAGGCAGCAGUAGGGAAUCUUCCGCAAUGGACGAAAGUCUGACGGAGCAACGCCGCGUGAGUGAUGAAGGUUUUCGGAUCGUAAAGCUCUGUUGUUAGGGAAGAACAAGUGCAAGAGUAACUGCUUGCACCUUGACGGUACCUAACCAGAAAGCCACGGCUAACUACGUGCCAGCAGCCGCGGUAAUACGUAGGUGGCAAGCGUUGUCCGGAAUUAUUGGGCGUAAAGGGCUUCCGCAGGCGGUUUCCUUUAAGUCCUGAAUGUGAAAGCCCCCGGCUCAACCGGGGAGGGUCAUUUGGAAACUGGGAAACUUGAGUGCAGAAGAGGAGAGUGGAAUUCCACGUGUAGCGGUGAAAUGCGUAGAGAUGUGGAGGAACACCAGUGGCGAAGGCGACUCUCUGGUCUGUAACUGACGCUGAGGAGCGAAAGCGUGGGGAGCGAACAGGAUUAGAUACCCUGGUAGUCCACGCCGUAAACGAUGAGUGCUAAGUGUUAGGGGGUUUCCGCCCCUUAGUGCUGCAGCUAACGCAUUAAGCACUCCGCCUGGGGAGUACGGUCGCAAGACUGAAACUCAAAGGAAUUGACGGGGGCCCGCACAAGCGGUGGAGCAUGUGGUUUAAUUCGAAGCAACGCGAAGAACCUUACCAGGUCUUGACAUCCUCUGACAACCCUAGAGAUAGGGCUUUCCCUUCGGGGACAGAGUGACAGGUGGUGCAUGGUUGUCGUCAGCUCGUGUCGUGAGAUGUUGGGUUAAGUCCCGCAACGAGCGCAACCCUUGAUCUUAGUUGCCAGCAUUCAGUUGGGCACUCUAAGGUGACUGCCGGUGACAAACCGGAGGAAGGUGGGGGAUGACGUCAAAUCAUCAUGCCCCUUAUGACCUGGGCUACACACGUGCUACAAUGGACAGAACAAAGGGCUGCGAGACCGCAAGGUUUAGCCAAUCCCACAAAUCUGUUCUCAGUUCGGAUCGCAGUCUGCAACUCGACUGCGUGAAGCUGGAAUCGCUAGUAAUCGCGGAUCAUCAUGCCCCCGUUGAAUACGUUCCCGGGGCCUUGUACACACCGGCCCGUCACACCAAGGAGAGUUUG